AGACCGGAAACGGAGGAGAGCGCGGGGGAUGUGUUUGGCAUGGGGACGCACUGUUACAGUUGCGCUCCUGGUUGGCUUUGUGUUUCCGCGGUGUUGGUAGAGUCUCGGUGUUUCUACCUCUUAGCACCCUUUCCUGCCACCCUUUGUCCUGUGGAAGCCCGGAGACAUCAGCGGCUGCAAUUUUGCUACUCGCUGCUCGGCAUGGAACGGUCAGGACAAAAAAUAAUAUCCAAAGAUAUUUUGGCACUAACAGCGCUAUCUGUAGCAAGAAAGUUGAGCAGUGUGAACUGUUGAGACUUCCAAGAAGACUUCAGAGAACCAAGACAGUGUAAAGGAAAACAGGAAAAAAGACUUGUUAGACAUUAUUAAGGGCACGAAAGUUGAAUUGAGCACAGUAAAUGUACAAACAACAAAGCCACCCAACAGAAGUCCACUUAAAAGCUACAACUGGCCCGCCUCAAAGAGCUACAGAGCAUGCUCCAAAGAAGAGAAAUGAGCCCGUGAGUCCUGAGUUGGUGGCAGCUGCAUCUGCUGCUCUGUUUUGACAAGCAAACAAGCCAGAACUGCUCAGGCAGCUCCGUAGCAUGAGGAAGAGUCAGGGGCACAGAGAGAUGGAGAGAGACCUAGUUAGAGAGCGAACCAUGUGCUGGAUUUAGCCAGUCCUGCAUUUUUCUAUACUUCAAAUCAAAACGGGCCAUGCUUCACAUCUACCCAUGAUGAAUAGGGGUACUUUGAUUAAGAAUAAAUAGAGCUGACUGAAUUCUGAACAAGAAAAACAUAUUCAAGGGGAAGAGAUGUAAUAGUUUUGACGUGACGACAGUUACUAAAGAAGCACCUGAACAGACACAUCACCUUCACUUUGGGAUGUGGAAUUUGCUAAAUAAGCCACAGAAAAUGAACAUCCCUUCAGAAUGGGUUUGAAGAGCUGAUCCAGUGGAUUAAAGAGGGGAAACUGGGAGUUUCCAAUUAACAAUGAAGCAGGAGCUGACUAAGGCUUUGGAACAGAAACCAGAUGAUGCACAAUAUUAUUGUCAAAGAGCUUAUUGUCACAUUCUUCUUGGGAGUUACUAUGGAUCUGUAAAUAACUGACGAAAAACCCAUCUGUUUCUACGUAGUUGCUGUUGCCGACACAAAGAAGUCUUAUGAACUCAAUCCAAAUAAUUCCACUGCUAUGCUGAGAAAAGGGGGCUGGCGGCAUGGAGUCUUGCUCUGUCACCCAUCCUCGAGUGCAAUGGCACCAUCUUAGUUCACUGCAGCCUUGAAUUCCAGGGCUCGAGCCAUCCUUCUGCCUCUGCCUCCUGAGUAGGUGGGACUACAGGCAUGUGCCACCAUACUGAGCUAAUUUGUUAAACACUUUUUUUGUAGAGACGAGGUCUUGCUACGUUUCCCAGACUGGUCUCUGAACUCCCGGCCUCAAGUGAUCCUACUGCCUUGGCCUCCCAAAGUACUGGCAUAAUAGACAUGAGCCACUGCACCUGGCUCCUAAGUUCUUUUCUUGAAUAAUAUCUUUCUUUUUUUUUAUUUUUUGAGGUGGAGUCUCACCCUGUUGCCCAGGCUGGAGUGCAAUGGCGUGAUCUCGGCUCACUGCAACUUCUACCUCCCGGGUUCAAGUGAUUCUCCUGCCUCAGCCUCCUGAAUAGCUAGGAUUACAGGCGUGCGCUACCACGCCUGGCUAAUUUUUUGUGUCUUUAGUAGAGAUGCGGUUUCACCAUGUUGGCCAGGCUUGUCUCGAACUCUUGACCUCGUGAUCCACCCGCCUUGGCCUCCCAAAGUGUUGGGAUUACAGGCGUGAGCCACCACGCCUGGCCAAGUAAUAUCUUAAUAUCAUGCCAUUGACAUUUAUCCUCUAAUUAUUUCAGAGGUGGCCUUCAGAAGAAGGCCUCUUUGGUAAAAUUGCUAUUGAGGAUAUUUCACUGAAAAACAAAUUUAUCUUUAAAUUUAAAUCCAGGAAAAAUUUAAACUUUCAGGCUUCUAUUUUUAUCAGACAGGGUAAAAAAUUUAUAACUCAGAAUAUUACCCUUUCCCCUCUUUGUGUGAUGGAUUGCUUGGUUUUAGUUACUGAUUAUUUAAAAUAAUAAGUUAUUCAAAUCUAGGAUUUUGAUACAAUAGUUCUUCUCUAGAAUAUAGUGUGUGUGUGAGAGUAUAUUUAAAAUUUUUAUUAAGGCCCAUGGGGCAGCCUUUGAGGAAACCAGACCUUGGGGAUCGCCAGGCAGGAUUAGUGGCAGGAAUUGAGAGAACAGAGCCCCACAGAGCUCCUCGGGGACCGUCCCCCAGUCACAAGAGUAUCUCAAGGAAGUAGUCUUCUCCCACAUCCCCCAAAGAUAACUACCAGAGGGUCAGUUCUCUGAGCCCUUCUCAGUGUAGAAAAGACAAGUGUCAAAGCUUCCCCACUCACCCUGAGUUUGCCUUCUAUGACAAUACGUCGUUUGGCCUCACUGAGGCUGAGCAGAGGAUGCUGGACCUCCCAGGAUAUUUUGGGUCAAAUGAAGAGGAUGAAACCACAAGUACACUUAGCGUGGAGAAGCUGGUGAUCUAGACUGAGAAUCAGCCUGAGCUUAACACAGCUGGGGUCUGCUACUCGCGUUUUGUAGACUUUUGUGUAACUAUUUGUACCGUAGGACAGAAUGUGAGGAGGAAGUAACACACACAGAGGAGGAUGUGUGUGUGUGCAUGUGUUUGAAUUCACAAGGAAGAAAUUAUUUAUCUUGAGCUUUUUCCUUUGUUAUUCAGUUUUUAUUGGUUUAUUACUAAUAAUGAUAAUAAAAUGUAAACAAGAGCAA
RNAcentral lists this long non-coding RNA (2780 nucleotides) under Homo sapiens (human). RNAcentral describes it as "non-protein coding lnc-NEK3-1:8". Lineage: Eukaryota; Metazoa; Chordata; Mammalia; Primates; Hominidae. The record is from RNAcentral.